RNAcentral lists this transfer RNA (69 nucleotides) under Crenuchus spilurus (sailfin tetra). RNAcentral describes it as "tRNA-Asp". It matches the Rfam family "tRNA". Rfam says of the family: Transfer RNA (tRNA) molecules are approximately 80 nucleotides in length. Their secondary structure includes four short double-helical elements and three loops (D, anti-codon, and T loops). Further hydrogen bonds mediate the characteristic L-shaped molecular structure. tRNAs have two regions of fundamental functional importance: the anti-codon, which is responsible for specific mRNA codon recognition, and the 3' end, to which the tRNAs corresponding amino acid is attached (by aminoacyl-tRNA synthetases). tRNAs cope with the degeneracy of the genetic code in two manners: having more than one tRNA (with a specific anti-codon) for a particular amino acid; and 'wobble' base-pairing, i.e. permitting non-standard base-pairing at the 3rd anti-codon position. Lineage: Eukaryota; Metazoa; Chordata; Actinopteri; Characiformes; Crenuchidae. The record is from RNAcentral.
AAGACCCUAGUAAAAUUAUUACACUGCCUUGUCAAGGCAAAAUUGUAGGUUAAAACCCUGCGUGUCUUA